AAAAAGAGACAGAUCGGAAAUAGGACCUUUCAUUUUCGAUAUCAAAAAUCAGAAAGCAGGUUUUCAUAAGUGUCAGUUUCAACACAUAAACAGAUCAGCGAACAUAACAGCACAUAAUCUGGCAUCAGAAGGUCUUAAAAUGGGAAAGAAUACAUACCUUGCUCCCUGGAUAUUACGGAAGCGGAAAUAGAUCGGGGAUGGAGAUGAGUCACCUGGACAUGGCAACCCAACAAAAAUGCAGAAAUAGAGUCAGGAAAGAAGCAGAAUGAAUGCAGAGAAUGGGCGGAAAAGAGAAAGAAAGAAGGAAAGAAUAAUGAAAGAAUAUCAAAAGCUAUAGAGUAGAAGCUUUCCUUGGAAUCUGAAAUGUCUUUUGCACAAGCAAUGGUAGAUGAAAAGAAAGGACGACUACAGAUUUUCUGAUUGG
RNAcentral lists this long non-coding RNA (424 nucleotides) under Gossypium barbadense (sea-island cotton). RNAcentral describes it as "long non-coding RNA (GBAR_LNC000176)". The record is from RNAcentral. Lineage: Eukaryota; Viridiplantae; Streptophyta; Magnoliopsida; Malvales; Malvaceae.